Molecule: long non-coding RNA, 4776 nt
Filed under: Triticum aestivum (bread wheat)
Lineage: Eukaryota; Viridiplantae; Streptophyta; Magnoliopsida; Poales; Poaceae
Description: long non-coding RNA (TAES_LNC015857)
Rfam family: Plant small nucleolar RNA R71 (bases 3397-3507)
Source: RNAcentral
UAAUAAUUAAAGAUGUUCAAACAACUCACUUGACAGAGAGCACAAACAACACAAAUUUAUCACAAUAGGUAAUCAGAAUAUCAUGGGAAACUAACUGACAGAAAAUUCACAUAUAUUGAAAUAGUAAAACAGAUUACCAAUUAUCAAGUCUUCAUUCUAAAUGUUCACAUAAAUUACACACACACACACACAUGUACACGCACAAAAAUUGUUCUAGUUCUUGCAAAUCAACAGAAUACAUCCAGACAAGCACAAGUCCGAAUUUCACAGGAACCCACUCACAUCUAAUACAUAGAAAUUUCAGAGAGGGAGAGAGAACAGUAGCAAGUGUUGGAGAAGGAGAAAGUGAUUCAGAAGAAGCAGGGAAGCAGCAAGGUAGGCAAAGAAGAAGCAGCAGCAGAGGUACAAAGAGAAGGAGCAGCCAGAGAAGUUGGGGAGCGGCAGCAGGAAGUGAAGGGGAAGGAGCAGCAGGGGGACGUUGGGAGGAGGAGAGGUUCAGAGAAGAGCUUCAGCAAGGAAGAGCAGCAGGGGGCGCAGGAGAUGAAGAGCAGCAACAACUUUAGGGGAAGCAGAGUAGGAGAAGCAGAGAGAGGAGCAGCAGCAGGGGCGUGGGAGAAAGCAGCAGCAGUUGGAGGCGCGCGGGGGAUCAGACACCGGCGACCCCAAUGGCUGGUCCAUGGUGUGAGUGGCAAGGGGAAGCAGCAGGGAGAGGUGGAUGGGUGGUGUGGUGCUGGUGGAUGGAGGUGAUGGUGGUACUGGGUGCUGUUGGUGUAGUAGAUGGAGGCUGCUGGCGCACCACCACGCCGGCCUGGCCGUGGCGGCGGCCGGACGUGGAGAAGGAGGGAUGAGGGAGAGAGAUGUGUGCCAGGCCUGAUGGGGAAUGGAGCCGAUCUAGGGAUUUUGAUCCCCUCCCUGAUCUGCAAACUUUACACAUUAGCCCUCCUCCUUCUCUUCUUUCUUCACAAGAAGGUCCUCUCACUUCUUUAGCAAGCCCCCUGGUUACUUCUUUUCAUCUCACUCAAGUAUCUUCUUCCUUCUCUUCUUUUCUUCACUCUUCUCGAUAACCACCUAGACAAAAUCUUGACGAUUAUUGGUGCCUUUGCGCACGUUUCUGCAAGAUAGACCAAAGACUAGUAAAUGAUCUUUUUUAUGAUUAUCAAGCAAUAUUCAAUCAAUCAUGGCAAGAAUGGACGGAUAUAUCACGAUAGAUGCUACAUUUGAGUACCAAAAUUAUAUAUGUGAAAUAUACUUAUCAAGUUCCCCCACACUUAAAUCUUUACUUGUCCUCAAGUAAAGGCAUAUGACAAGAGCUAGACAGUGAACAGUGAGCUGACUAGAGAAUGCCAAGUGAAGUAGAUCUCUAAACAAUGCAUGCUUUGGACUUAACUAGUGCAAAUUAAUGGUCAAGAGUGCUACAAAGCAAUAGGAUACUAGUAGACUCAAUCAUUUUAAACUUUUACAAUGAUAAAAGUGGAUCAACAAGUUCAAAUGAUGAUUGUGCCAAAGGUUCCUAAAGAGAGCAUGAUCCCGAGCACAAAAAAGAACUUAAACUUGUGAUCAAAUCACUUAUUUACAGAAGUAAAGCAAUGAUAAUAUUUUAUCAAUCUCACCAAAGGAACAUACCACCGAUCCCGAGAACAUGGUAUACACCUGGAUCGACCAAUUAUUUAGUUUUUUUUGUUUGUCUCCCCAAAGGAACAUACCACCAAUCCCGAGAACAUGGUAUACACCUGGUUCGACAAUUACAUUUUUUAUUAUUAAUUACUACCCAAGCUAACCCAAUCACAUGCCACCGAUCCCAGGAACAUGACAUGCUACUAUAGGUAUUCAGACUUAUUUAUUCAUUAUUACUUAUCUUAAAUGAACAACGCAUAAGCACAAAAAUAGGAAUCAUCACUGCUCCAUGUCUGGUUCACAUGCUACCGAUCCAGGGAACAUAGCAUACUAAUCCAUAGUGGUUAGGUGAUUGCUCUCAAUGGGAACACAUUAGGCACAAACUCAGCAUCUGACUCUUAAUGAUCUAGGUGUAUCGAGGUAAAAGCAGAAAAUGAUUAAGUUUUCUAGUGUACUAGGGAUUUGAGCACUCAAAACUAAUAACUUUCACUAGUUUCAGCAAAACAAGCAGUAUGUAGAUCACUAGUUUACAAGGCAUUCACGAUUCAAUUCACAUAUUCACAUCAAGCAUCAUAUGUCAAAGGUAAAAUUCAGUGGGAAGACAUUUAAGAAAUGGCUUAAGCAACCCAAAUAACAUUUGAUUUCAGCAUGUAUCAAUGGAUGAUAUACUCGGAAUGGGUCAUGAAACAGCUCACCGGGCUUUGAUGAUGUAGCACUCGCUCGAUCACCUCACCAACUGCAGCUCCUCUCCUUUUGCUUCUCUAUCCUCAUGCCUGCUCCAGACUCUCCCUUCCUCGUGUGUGCCCCCUUGCUUCUCCUCAUCCCCAUGCUCUGAGUCCACCACGAUCCCAGGGAAUGUCAUCUCGAACUCGGUCAACUCGCAGUAAAUGGUACACAAGCAUCAACCUGAAAGAACACUCAACAACCAAGCCAAUACAAGUGACAGAGAGAAUGCCCUCUAAGUCAUCGAUAGAGUACCCUAUCAUAUAAGUAUAUCUAUUGAGCAAGUCAGGAACAUGUAUCAACAACAAGUCACAUGGUGCAUAGGCAGUAACCAUGAUAUGGCAUAUCUUGUCGAGAAAGCUGAGGUCAUACCUGAGAUAGUUAGGAAGAAGCUUCAGGACUACCUCCAUUGAAGAUACCAAGUGAGGUGUGGUAGUAGAAAUUUCCACCGGAUUCAUGUCAACAAGUGAAAUAGAGCUUGACUCCUUGAUAUCUGAAUCCACCUCACCAUACUCAACCAUGAAGCUCUCCAUCUCAAGCUCAAGUGUUGAGGAAGCAAUAUGGCUAACAUCAUCGAAGGUGAACUUCUCCAUAUCUGGCUCAAGCAGCACAUGAUCAAUAUCAACUAAAGGUGACUCCUCAAUAUCAAAAACAACUAACUGCAGCUCUGGCUCAUCAAUGGAAGAAUCAUCACAAUGCAAAACCGAGUCUCCAACACUAGUAUCCAUAUGAUCUGUAGCGUGUGUGUCAACUAGAAUGGUGUCAUCAUCGUCAAAGAUAAUCCAUGCAAGCUCAAUCUUGUCACACUGAGAUAGAGAUUCAGGCUUCUGUGUAAGAAUUGGUGGCUGAGGUGUAGUGAUUUGUUGCAAGCAAACCAAUGAAUCAGACGUGGGCUUCUUAUUGUACCACUGAAGUUGGUGGAAAGCUAUGCUCUCAAUCAGCGGAAAAGCUUCAUCAAGUGUCUUGUUUGUAAUAGCUCCACCCGCUGCCAUAUCGACAUAAGCUCGAGUGUCCGAAGUCAAUCCUCUAUAGAAUAUCUUCAGCUCUAACCAUCUCUCGAGCCCAUGAUUAGGACAUCUCCUGAAUAAGGCUUUGUAUCUCUCCCAAGCAUCAUUCAAGCUCUUGCCUUCACGCUGAACGAAAUUGAAGAUCUUAUCUCGAAUUGCGGACUGCUUGUGUAGUGGGAAAUAUUUAUCCAAGAAAGCUCGCGAUAUCUCAUUCCAACUGUAUGACCUUGAUGGCAAGGAUCGAUACCAAGCACGAGCAUCAUUGCGGAGGGAGAAUGUGAACAACCUGCACAUGAUUGCAUCUUGAGGAACUCCAUGGUACUUGACUCUAGCUGAAUACUCCAUGACUCGGUGUAAGUGCUCAUAGGGAUCCUCAGUAGGCAGUCCUCCAAACUGUUGUUGUUGAACCAAAGCAAUAAGACCAGGCUUCAGCUCAAAAUUCUCUACCUCAAUAGUUGGCCAAACCGGUCCUGUGAUAUAACAUUGACUACUUGGCAUCCAAAGAUCACGAAGCAAUGCCAUAUCUUAACCAAGUGUAACUAUAGAACAACCUGCAAAGAUUUAUGAUUCCCUACACAAAUUCAUAAACAGUAAACACUAGUCAGAAGGUUAGUAUCCUAAUAAGCCGAAGCAACAAUGGGGGAAAAUAGAAGAAAAACACUGAAGAUGAAAUACACGAUGAAUUGAACAAGGAACUAAAGUAAACCUAGUCUAUAGCCUAACAUAAUCGCUCGACGCUAGUCCCCGGCAACGGCGCCAAAAUGGUCAAUUGUAAUAUAGCGGGGUUUUUACGCCCCAUACUACGGAUGUCGUGUUCUCCACAGGAACUAGGCGACGACAGUCGUGCUCGGCUAAAGCUAGAUCAGACGAAAAGGUUUGUGAUAUUGCAAGACAAACAAAAGUAAAGCAAGUUUGUUCCAGAAAAUCAUUGACAAAUAAAAUGUACUCACUAUAUUUUUGGUGUUUUUAUUUGUUUUACUUUGGGAACUAAAAUACCAGCACAGGCAGACAUGAGAAACAAGGAAAACUACAAGACACCAACACAUAAAUGUUCAGCAACUAGUAUGAAAGAGAAGAAUUAAGAUCAAGGGACAUGACCAGAAGUACUUCACAUCACAAGCAUAUAUAUAUUCACACGUACAUAGCUAACACAUGGACUAAGAAUUAAAGAUGUUCAAACAACUCACUUGACAGAGAGCACAAACAACACAAAUUGAUCACAAUAGGUAAUAGGAAUAUCAUGGGAAACUGACUGACAAAAAAUUCACAUAUAUUGAAAUAGUAAAACAGAUUACCAAUUAUCAAAUCUUCAUUCUAAAUGUUCACAGAAAUUACACACACACACAUGUACACGCACAAAAAUUGUUCUAGUUCUUGCAAAUCAACAGAAUACAUCCAGACAAGGACAAGUCCGAAUUUCACAGGAACCCAC